UCUUCCUACUAGCCCAAGUGUAAAAUUAGGCAUGAAAAUAAAACAUGUUUAUCAAAAUUAAGGACCUUCCUUAUACUUUCUGCCUGUUUCAACCUAAAACCUAAGAAGAACAAAUAAUUCAUUAGACAGAAAUGCUUUUCCAAUUUCUAGCUUAAUGACCCAACUUGUCAACAAUACUGUUGAUAGUAUCUGAAGCUUUGUCCAAAAUUUCCUGCUCCACUUUAGAAUGUUCCAAUCCAUCCCUUAAAGUCUUCAACUGGUCCUUGGAUGACGCGUCAAACAAAAGGCUAAAAGAACCUUUAAGCAGCAUACCACCGGUGUAUAGUCCUCCCAGCACAGUGCAACGAAUCAAGAAGCUCUCCACUUCAUCCAAUUUAACCAACUUGACAUGCAAACGUGAAAAAGCGG
RNAcentral lists this long non-coding RNA (408 nucleotides) under Coffea arabica (coffee). Its description in RNAcentral is "long non-coding RNA (CARA_LNC007894)". Lineage: Eukaryota; Viridiplantae; Streptophyta; Magnoliopsida; Gentianales; Rubiaceae. The record is from RNAcentral.